Amaranthus tricolor (Joseph's coat) is the source of this 1152-nucleotide long non-coding RNA. RefSeq lists it as uncharacterized. The record is from RefSeq and is a predicted model, not a curated record. The transcript is spliced from 2 exons. Lineage: Eukaryota; Viridiplantae; Streptophyta; Magnoliopsida; Caryophyllales; Amaranthaceae.
CGUGUGUAUGGGGUUUCUCGGUUCUUCACUUUACUCGUGCUUUUGCCAUUACUCACUUUUUCACAUUUCUUCUCCUUCUCUUUCAUAUUACAUUCAAGAAGAAAUGUCUGCUUCCCUCACAUUUCUCUCUUUAAGUUGAUCAAAUCACAGUGUUGUGUAGUUCGUCGAUGACGCUGCCGUUGAAUUCGAUGGAGUUAACGACAGUGAUAGAUAUUGGUAUAGUUCCAUAUUUGAUUUUGGUGCCAUUUUUACUUUCACCAUUAAAGCAAAGGCUUGAUUUUUUAAGAUUGAUAUUCAAGUUGAUUCAACCGUGUUUCAAGUCAUCCUGUUCUUCAAUCAUGUCUACCGAUCUUCAGUGAUGUAUCGUUGCAUGUUUGGACACUAUUUCGUAGCUCAUGAGGACUUUGAUCAAAGAUGAGGAAAGUUCGAGGGUCGUUUGAUUGAGUAUUCAAGGUGUUUAAAUGUCCUAUGUAUAAUCUCGGGCUAGAAUAUGAAAGCUUCAGUCGAAUCGAAGUUAAAUACAAGCUGCUGGGUUGUUAUGAUAACGUCUCGAGUGAGACUCCCUUAACUUCAGUCGAAGCUUGGCUGUACAAAAUGUUCUGGUACCUUCUUUGAGCUGAUUUCGGUCGAGACCAACACACUUCGGUCGAUAGUCGAGACGAACUAACUUUGACCAAGACGGAUGCAAUUCGGUCGAAACUGCUGCUACACCUAAGUCUCUGAUGUUGGCUGAAUGAAGCUUCGGCCAAACUCAUCUCAGCUUCGACGGAAUUUAUGACCUGCUACCUUCUGUUUUUCUCUUCAAUUCUCCCACUUGCAAUAUAUAAAGAAAGUCAAUUUUCAGUUUUUGGAGGGAGGAGGUUACCAUUUUGUUAAGCAUUAUCAUUUUAGUGGAGGUUAUUAGAUUUAUUUUAGUUUUCAUUUAGAUAGUUUAAUUGGGUAGUUAGUGGAAGUUAGUCAUUAUGAUUUUAAUUAGAUUAGCUAGGAAUUAGGAUUUAGCAUUUUGAAUUUAGGAAGUUUGGCAGCAAACGUUUUUCUUUUCUUUAGUUUUUAGAACCUUAGAUCUUUAGAUUUUUCAUGCUUUUAUUUUUUUUUCUUAAUUAAACUUUAAUCUCUUUUUAAUUUUAAUUAGUACCUUGAUGUGAUUCGAAG